This 5052-nucleotide long non-coding RNA is filed under the name Capra hircus (goat). Its description in RNAcentral is "lncRNA (ENSCHIG00010025970.1)". The record is from RNAcentral. Lineage: Eukaryota; Metazoa; Chordata; Mammalia; Artiodactyla; Bovidae.
GUGCAGUGUAGUCACUUAGCCUGUGUGCAGCUGGGGCCUGGCGAGGAUAGACACCACACACUGUGCGGCUUUAUAAAAGAUUCAGUUCUGCCAUCUCCAGGGGUGAGGAAGAAAAUCCCCGCGCAGGUCACAGGAUUCCUUCUGUUCUGGUUGACGCUGACUAAAGGCUUCAAGUACAGCUUUUAAGAGUCAGCCUCCCUGAUCCACGGUGGGCACUUAUUAGGCAGAUGAUUUCUGUGGCUGAUAACCACUUGGUUAUACUAAUAUAACCACAUUAUACGAGGUGAAGAUGGUGUCUGUGUCUAUGGAAGAUGGGGGCGGGGUGGGGGGGAAACACCAAAGAUUCCUUGGGUUGGGUGGAGGGCGCUGGGUCAAAUGAUCAGGAGGCACCGAGGUUUAGAGAGUGUGCAAGACAGGGGACAUCAAGGGAGAAAAGUAACAGGUAGGAAAAGUUGAAGAAGCCAAGGCACCCAGGUCUUUGUGUGCAAAUAUGCAGCGAGGCAGCUUCUACAAGCGCUGAAGGAGAAGACUGAGGCAGAAGAGCUAGUUACAGCUAACACAACGGAGGGCCCCGCACACCCAUUCUGACUGUAGCGCUCGGGGCCACCCGGUGACCUUCGGAGAAGGAAGUUGGUGGAUCCUCUCGCUUCCCUGGAAAGGCAGCUGGGCGCGGGGUAGGGUGUGCGGAGCGCGGUUCUGCCGCUCUCGGCCAUGGCGGGGCAGAUGAAAGCCGCAGAUUUCCGCUCGCAAGCCCGGGACUAGGGCCGGGACCGCAGGCACCUUCCGGGCCGGGAGUUCAAGCUCCGGCUGCUCCAGAGUCAGCGCUCCUCCGCCUGGGCCGCGCGCCUGCUCCGCUCUCCUCGCGAGCCGAGAAAUCCCAGCGCUGGGGCCGACGUGCGCCCCUCGCUCCGCUCCGCUCACGCCCGCCUCUGCCCGCCUCCUCCAGCCGGCCGGGCACCGGGAGCCGGGCGCCAAGGCCGCCCCGCCGAGCCAAGCUUGCAGCCCCGACCGCUUCCCGAAAGCAGGAGGGAAGAACCGCAGCACCCGCCCGCCCGCGCCUCCCAUCCGGCGCUUUGCCAGCAACAAACACAAACUUUCCCAAGCCCCUCCCCGCUCCAGGUAACGGAGGCAGCGCUGGGACCACCCGCUUAAAGGGGAGGAGGCUUCGGAGCCCACCCAGCUCUCCCCCCUCGGGGCCCUCGCCCCGCCACAAACUUUCCUCCGACCUUUAAAAGUUGGCCUUGGAAAGACUCGUCUGGAAAUCCCAUCGCUUGAGCGCCAUUCCUAGCCACCCCGCGUCCCACCACUCUGGAGUCCCCACGUGGGCCUCCGGGUCCCUCUGCUAACUCCCCGCACGGUCACCGACUCGUCCCGAACGAAGCACCCACCAACUAGCCGCUAGGACUUGGCUAAAUAUUAUCCAGAUAGGACUGAAAGAGAUGAAAGGACUGUAAACGCCUGGGAUGCCAGCCUCCAAGGUGCAGAGGCGUGAAGUGUUUGGAUGCCUAGUCCGAAGAUUCACAGCGAAGUGUCAAGACCAAAACCCAGAUCUCACAGGCUCUGCUCACUGCCCUGUGGUUGGGUAGGCCUCGCCUCCCGUCGCCCACCUCCUUCCUUCCUUCUCCCGGGUGCCUAUGGCACUGAUUAACACUUACCACAAAUAGACCCGUGGUGGGGGGGAUGCGGACGCUCAGAACCCAAGUGUAUUAAUAGCUUCAGUACUUCAUAUGGAAUGUACUCUUUAAACUUUUUAUUUAUUGCUUUAAGUGGACAGAACUGGUUGCCAAUAAAGAUUCUUUUCUUCCCCUACAAUGGGGCUUUGUGCUUUUAAUUUGAAUACAAAAGACCCAGUAUUAGGGGGAAAUUUUUAGUGUUCAUUGUUUAAAACUUCUCAAUGAUAAUUCAAACACAGCACUGGUGUCCCCCACCCCAACCCCCCAGUGCCACAGCCUCUCAUUAAUAUAUGCAAAACAAAGCAAAGAUGUUAGUGGGGAACUGCCCCAACUAGGGAGAGGAACUUUGCUUUUACCUCAGUACAUCAUUAUUUCCACUAACAAGUGUCUCUUAUUUCCACUAACAAAAGUGCCUUUGGUCAGGUAUGAACCCAUCUGCAAGAGACUUAAAAAUUUGUCCCUGAUGGGCCAAUAAUGCGAGUGUACUUAAUGCCAUUGGACUGUAGACUUUAAAAACAGUUAAAAUGGUAGAUUCUGUGUUAUAUAUGGGACUUUCUAGUUGCUCAGUGGUGAAGAAUUUGCCUUCCAAUGUAGGAGAUUCCAGUUAAAUCCCUAAGUUGGGAAGAUCCCCUGAAAAGGGAAAUGGCAAUCCACUCCAGUAUUCUUGCCUGGAGAAUCCCAUGGANNNNNNNNNNNNNNNNNNNNNNNNNNNNNNNNNNNNNNNNNNNNNNNNNNNNNNNNNNNACUAAACAACAAAAGGUUGUAUAUGUUUCAACAUGCUAAAAAAAAUUUUUUUAAUUUAUUUUUGUCACCAAGCCUUUCUUCAUGCUAUUCACCCACCCAGCAGUUCCUUUGCAUUUCCCAUCCCAUGGAAUCCUCUAGAAUUUCUCUGGGAAGUCUUUCAAUUUAAUUCAAUCAGCCUUAAAUGCAAGCCUCAUGUUAGGCCUUGAGAGAUGCUGAAGCUACAGAGAAGAAUAAGACCUGACCCCUCCAGAAACUCAAAUCUUUCCCUUUCUUAACUACCCACAGUGCUUAACAUUUGAAGCACACAUUCUGGCACUUGGUCACAUUCAGUUUAGCCCAUGCUACGCACUGAAUGUACUGUGUCCCCCAACCAAACUCAUAUUGAAGCCCUAAUCUCCAAAGGUAUUUGGAGGUGGGGACUUCAGGGAGUAAUUAAGUCCAGAGGAUGGAGCCCUCAUGCAUGGGAUUAGUGCCCUUAUAAGUAGAGACGUGAGAGGCAUUAUACCUAUAUCUAUGCUGUGUGAGGAUACAGCAAGAAGGCAUUUGUCUGCAAACCAGGAGAGGGCCCUCACCAGGUACUGAAUGGGCCAGCAUCUUGAUCUUAGACUUCACAGCCUCCAGAAGUGGGAGACAUAACUGUCUGUUGUUUAAGCCACCCAGUUCAUGAUAUUUGUUAUAUCAGCUCAAGCUGACAGCAAACACAGUGCUCCCAUCUCUGUCUAAUAGUGGGAGAGAGAGACUGUCAUGUGCUCGUCUUAUGUUUCACAUCACUGUAGAGUCGAUAUUUGCUAAAAAGUAUUGUUUAACAAAGUGCGUGUCAGGAAGUGUGCCUGGCACAUNNNNNNNNNNNNNNNNNNNNNNNNNNNNNNNNNNNNNNNNNNNNNNNNNNNNNNNNNNNNNNNNNNNNNNNNNNNNNNNNNNNNNNNNNNNNNNNNNNNAAAAGUAUUGUUUAACAAAGUGCGUGUCAGGAAGUGUGCCUGGCACAUGGUAGGUCUUCAGUUAAUAUUUGUGGAGUAAACUAAUGCCACUUACUGGGCUCGAGCCUGGGGAAACAAAGGUAAAUAUAACCGUUCCUGCCCUUGAGGUGCUUACAGUCUGUGCAUCCUGACUCAGUAGGUGUGACAGCACUGCCAGAUGCAGUUGCCAGUCCUGAGGAAGCUUGUCCAAAAAAGCUCAGUGGGGAUGACUGUGAACCGAGUCUUGAACGACCAGCAGGUCUCUAGCUGUGAGGAGGACGGAUGAGCCAGCAAUAGCCAUUGUGUAUUCAAUGUGGAAGGGAUUCUUCUCUCCUCCCUUCCCCACACCCAGAUAUUAUUAAAUUAAUGGUGCAUCUUACAGUCAUUGAAACAGCAGUAGUUGGUUGAAAUGGAAAGAAGAAAUAAGACUGUCCAGGCAGGGCCAGAACAAUGAGGACAAAAGUGGAUGGUUUCUUGGUAGUGGGUAGUCAACUGUGUCAUGUCAUGAGAGUCAGCCCUAGAUAACCGUUUAUGUAGCAGAAAAUGAGGCUAAAUUAAUCACUACAGGUGCUUGGACAUAGCACCACACCCUUUGCACAGCCCUGACUACCAGAGGAUGGAAUAUGUUUCCAGCUAAAGGAACAUAGCACCUGAAACCGACCGACACAAUGUGUUAAGUCAUAACUCUGGAAUGUGAUGAUGCUUUCAUUAUAAAAGACUUUUAUUAAUAUUUUCCGAGUCAGUAACCCCAUGUAUAGGUAAGGCUCUUGCCCCAGCCAAUUGUUCCCAGUUUUCUUAGUCUGCAGGCUUGCCUGGGGCAGGAAGGCUCACUCUCCAGUAACUGAUCCACACCCAUCCCCAAGGAGGGGAGUCCCGCCUCAGUAGGUUUCCUGCCAGAUCACGGAGACCCUCAGAGGCUCAGGUUACAGCAGCCAACCAUUACAGUCUUUUGAUUACUGGGAUCUGUCUGCAGGCGUUGCCCCUGAAAACCCCUGAGGGUCCCGCAUUCUCACUUGUAACAGGUUUUCCUGCUGAGGUCGGUAAAAUCACCUUACCGGUUAAAGGUGAACAUGCAAAUGUCAAAAGGUCCCAAUGAAUGAAUUUGCCAGAUUAUCCUAAGAGUCGCCCAGACCCUGUGCGUUACCUGUGCUGCUUCCGUCAGCCCAUUCUCUCUCUCUCCUUCCCUCGCUUUCUCUCUGCCUCUCUCUGUUUCUCUACAGAUGACCCUGAUGCUNNUUUAGCAGAGUGGCCAGCAAAAGAAUGUGUUCUACAGCAACAUUUCCUUCCACUAAUCAUUUUCACUACGUUUCCUUUGUAUUGGUUCCAGGUGUCUGUUUCUCCUAUUGAAGUUAAACACGGGGAUUCCUAAUCAAAAAGAACUUUAAGAUUUAAUCACAGAAUUAGAGAAUGGAAUUAAGAGUUAAAAAGGUAGGGGUUGGGGAGAGGAAGCCUUCAUUUCCUGAUGAGUGAAAGUCAUUCAGGGAGGCCAUGAGGGAAGUUGUGGAAUGCCCAUCUGACAAGUUUCAAAAACAGAAAAGGGCCUUACGUGCCUGGAAUGGGUUAAGCAUGGUCCUGCCAAAGGCUGUGCUCUGUGACCUCUGGCCUCAAAGACCAAAAUGGGAGAUAACAGAGAAAGUGUCCUUAGAUGUCUAGAACUGGCCCUGAUUCCAGACCAGGAG